Molecule: ribosomal RNA, 309 nt
Filed under: uncultured eukaryote
Lineage: Eukaryota
Description: partial 18S ribosomal RNA
Rfam family: Eukaryotic small subunit ribosomal RNA
Source: RNAcentral
CCCUUAGAUGUUCUGGGCGGCCCGCGCACUACAUUGGCACUAGCAAAGAGAUCCUAGAUUGAAUUCUUUGGGGUAUUCUUCUAAAUGGUGUCGUGACUGGGAUAAAUCCUUGUAAUUAUUGGGUUUGAACGAGGAAUUCCUUGUAAUCGCGGUUUAUCAGCUCGCGUUGAAUGCGUCCCUGCCCUUUGUACACACCGCCCGUCGCUCCUACCGAUGGAUCGUCCGGUGAAGCUCACGGAGUGACUGUUCACGCAACGGUUUACGAAGUGAAAUGGACCUCACGAUUUAGAGGAAGGAGAAGUCGUAACA